This 775-nucleotide ribosomal RNA is filed under the name uncultured Neocallimastigales. Its description in RNAcentral is "partial large subunit ribosomal RNA". It matches the Rfam family "Eukaryotic large subunit ribosomal RNA", at positions 23 to 644 of the family's 3401-position model. The record is from RNAcentral. Lineage: Eukaryota; Fungi; Neocallimastigomycota; Neocallimastigomycetes; Neocallimastigales.
ACACGCAUGACACACUGCAUAUCAAUAAGCGGAGGAAAAGAAACUAACAAGGAUUCCCCUAGUAACGGCGAGUGAAGCGGGAAGAGCUCAAAUUUGAAAUCUUAAAGGGUUUCCCUUUACGAAUUGUAGUUUAAAGAAGUGUUUUCUGUUGGAGUUUCGGUAAAAGUUCUUUGGAAUAGGACAUCAUAGAGGGUGAGAAUCCCGUAUUUGACGUACUUCUCCUAGCGUUGUGAUACACUUUCAACGAGUCGGAUUGUUUGGGAAUGCAGUCCAAAGUGGGUGGUAAAUUUCAUCUAAAGCUAAAUAUUGGCGAGAGACCGAUAGCGAACAAGUACCGUGAGGGAAAGAUGAAAAGAACUUUGAAAAGAGAGUUAAACAGUACGUGAAAUUGUCAAAAGGGAAGCGUUUGACACCAGUGUUGUUUAGUUGAAAAUCAAUUCAAUAAUUUUUGAUUUUGAGUAGUAUUGACUUCAUCAGCUUGCUGCUUUCUUUUCGGAAAUUAUUGAAUGCACUUUUCAGUUAACAAGUCAACAUCAAUUUCUUUUGUUGUAAAAGGGUAAGAGGAAGGUGGCUUACGCUUCGGCGUAAGUGUUUAUAGCCUUUUACCUCUGCAAUCGGAGAGAUUGAGGACAGCAGCGUAGACUCUUCGGGGUUAGAUACACUUGUGCUAAGCUAUAGCCUUGUAUAGACAACUUGUUGACUAUGCUCAGUCAUGUAGCUUACUCGCAUGUGCUAUUUUACCUACGCUUAGGAUGUUGACUGAUAUGUAGUCGUA